This is a non-coding RNA of Ictidomys tridecemlineatus (thirteen-lined ground squirrel), 1238 nucleotides long. NCBI's taxonomy places the organism in Eukaryota, Metazoa, Chordata, Mammalia, Rodentia, Sciuridae. The record is from RefSeq and is a predicted model, not a curated record.
CAGGGCCUUGUGCAUGCAGGGCAAGCACUUUGCCAACUGAGCUAUAUCCCCAGCCCACGUAGGCCUCUUUCUUCACUUCUGGAUUAGGGAGGCUGAACCAGAAAACUUUUGUAGGCCUUAUCAAUUCUGUCAUUCUCUGAUAUUCUAACUUUGGGAAGGACAUCUGAGCCAUUUUUUUCCUGACAAUUUCAGGAAUGGUAUUGAUUGUGAUGGCUCUCUGCAAUUUUAUCAGCAUAUAGGUUGCAAGGUAAGGACAAUCAAUUUUAAGUGGAUGUGAGAAGUCAUGGUUACCACCCUAAAAUAACUACUAAUCCAGACAUCAGUAUAACCCCAAUGAACACAAAAACUCAAUAGGCAUAGUUUACAAUUUUGCUCCUUAACAUCUCUUGUGGUGAAGAAAAAUCACAUCUCAGUGCUUAUUGUUUAGCUAUUUAGAGUAAUUCCCCAGGGAAGAUCUUGGCAUGCUAUAUAUGAAUGACCAGUUCUGAGGGCAGCAUGGACCAGAUCUUGGUGGUGGUUGGUGGAGGGUGAUGCCUGGGCCCUGUGGUUAGGGCUCCAGUCAUAUAAUGGCAUGUGUUGGAAGAACAUGUGUCACUGUAGCCCGUGAUAUGUUUUAUGUGCCAAUUCUUGUCUAAGAAGACACACAUGCUUGAUUUUUAUGUGGUGACAGAGAAAACAGAACACUGCAGACAUCCUUCAGAAUCUGACGGGAAGGAACAUCUCAGAUUACCUAGUGAAGAUGUAUGUGCAGAUCAUAGCCAAAAGGUGUAAAAACAGAAAGCUGGAAAAGGAAAGUAAGCAUUCACCUGCAGCACAGAGGAACAUUGUUAUGCCUUUGGAGAUACCAACACGAAAAGAUGUGACAUCUGUCCUCAAGUUGUUCAUGGGCUUAAGGGGAAUAGAAAUACAAAAUGUCACAGAAUUGGCUUCAUGGGUUCUAUGACUUUGCAGAAGCUUGUGUGAAUUAGGUAAGUUACUGUAUCUUUCUGCAUUCUGUUUUUCAGUCUGUAUAAUGGAAAGAAUAUAACAUUGUUGUGAAGGUUAACUGAAUUAAUACACAAAAAGAGCCUAGAACAAUGUUUAGCACCCAGUUAGUAUCAACAUUUGUGUACUAAUUAAUUCAGUUGAGGCAUUUAACUGAUAGUGCUAGUUCAGAGAAAGAUUUUUCUUUGGUGGUGACAGGUGCCCAGGUCAAGAUAAACCUUGAAUCAAAUUACAAUAAAUGAAAUUAAAAUGUA